GUCUUUUUGAUAAUUAUUUAAGGUCUGGCCUGCUCAAUGAAUGUUUAAAUAGCCGCAGUAUUUUGACUGUGCAAAGGUAGCAUAAUCAUUAGUUUUUUAAUUGAAAGCUGGAAUGAAGGGUUGGAUGAGAAAGUUUCUGUCUCACUUUAAUUUUAUUUGAAUUUUAUUUUUAAGUUAAAAAGCUUAGAUUUUAUAAAAAGACGAGAAGACCCUAUAGAGUUUAAUAGGUUUAGAUUUUUAUCAUUUUAGGAUUUUAUAUAGAUUGAUUUUUAACUUAUUUUGUUGGGGUGAUAUAAGAAUUGAGUUAACUUCUUUUUAUAGGAACAUUGAUUAAUGAGUAAUGGAUCCUUAGAUUUGGAUUGAAAGAAUAAAUUACCUUAGGGAUAACAGCGUAAUUCUUUUGGAGAGUUCUAAUCGAUAAAAGGGAUUGCGACCUCGAUGUUGGAUUAAAGUUUAAUUUUGGUGUAGAAGCUAUAAUUUUGAGUCUGUUCGACUCUUAAAACUUU
RNAcentral lists this ribosomal RNA (506 nucleotides) under Berberomeloe majalis (oil beetle). RNAcentral describes it as "partial 16S ribosomal RNA". It matches the Rfam family "Bacterial large subunit ribosomal RNA", at positions 1819 to 2597 of the family's 2925-position model. Lineage: Eukaryota; Metazoa; Arthropoda; Insecta; Coleoptera; Meloidae. The record is from RNAcentral.